GAUAUAGUUGAAAUCUUCAUAGAAGACAAUUCGAAAUAAAUGGAGAACUUAAAUGUCACGAACAGCGAGAAGAAUUGACUGUUGAGACCAUUCCAGGCACAAAGCAGUAGCUAAGGUUGAAAAGAUCAAUAUCUUGGUCCACUGAUGGAACCAUACAUCACAAAUCUGCUCAGUGACCAGCAUCUAUCUAAACCCAUUUCACAGGAUAUUCAGAAAAUUUAAGCUUGAAGAACUAUCUUUGCAUUUCCUACAAGGCGGGGCUAGUGGUAAUGAAAUCCCUCAUGUCCUGGAAAAGAAUUCUCUCACGUUAACUUUUGAAAGACAAUUUCACCUCCUAUUGCAAUCUUGAUUGACUAUGAGUAUGCUUUGAAACAAGCUGUCGACUUUAUUCCUGUGUAUCUUGCACAGGCUGAACAAAACAUAUUUAUAAAUUGGCAUGUGAGAAAGGAGUAGUUUCCAUAUUAAGACUGGUUCCCUGUACCUUGG
Alexandromys fortis (reed vole) is the source of this 486-nucleotide long non-coding RNA. RefSeq lists it as uncharacterized. The record is from RefSeq and is a predicted model, not a curated record. NCBI's taxonomy places the organism in Eukaryota, Metazoa, Chordata, Mammalia, Rodentia, Cricetidae. The transcript is spliced from 4 exons.